CAGUCGAGCGACAGAUGAGAAGCUUGCUUCUCUGAUGUUAGCGGCGGACGGGUGAGUAACACGUGGGUAACCUACCUAUAAGACUGGGAUAACUCCGGGAAACCGGGGCUAAUACCGGAUAAUAUAUUGAACCGCAUGGUUCAAUGUUGAAAGACGGUUUCGGCUGUCACUUAUAGAUGGACCCGCGCCGUAUUAGCUAGUUGGUAAGGUAACGGCUUACCAAGGCAACGAUACGUAGCCGACCUGAGAGGGUGAUCGGCCACACUGGAACUGAGACACGGUCCAGACUCCUACGGGAGGCAGCAGUAGGGAAUCUUCCGCAAUGGGCGAAAGCCUGACGGAGCAACGCCGCGUGAGUGAUGAAGGUCUUAGGAUCGUAAAACUCUGUUGUUAGGGAAGAACAAAUUUGUUAGUAACUGAACAAGUCUUGACGGUACCUAACCAGAAAGCCACGGCUAACUACGUGCCAGCAGCCGCGGUAAUACGUAUGUGGCAAGCGUUAUCCGGAAUUAUUGGGCGUAAAGCGCGCGUAGGCGGUUUCUUAAGUCUGAUGUGAAAGCCCACGGCUCAACCGUGGAGGGUCAUUGUAAACUGGGGGAACUUGAGUGCAGAAGAGAGAGUGAAAUUCCAUGUGUAGCGGUGAAAUGCGCAGAGAUAUGGACGAACACCAGUGGCGAACGCGGCUCUCUGGUCUGUAACUGACGCUGAUGUGCGAUAGCGUGCGGAUCAGACAGGAUCAGCAUACCCUGGUAGUCCACGUCGUUAGACGAUGA
RNAcentral lists this ribosomal RNA (773 nucleotides) under Mammaliicoccus lentus. RNAcentral's name for it is "bacterial SSU rRNA". It matches the Rfam family "Bacterial small subunit ribosomal RNA", at positions 59 to 812 of the family's 1533-position model. Lineage: Bacteria; Bacillati; Bacillota; Bacilli; Caryophanales; Staphylococcaceae. The record is from RNAcentral.